Long non-coding RNA from Gallus gallus (chicken), 3832 nucleotides. RefSeq lists it as uncharacterized. NCBI's taxonomy places the organism in Eukaryota, Metazoa, Chordata, Aves, Galliformes, Phasianidae. The record is from RefSeq and is a predicted model, not a curated record. The transcript is spliced from 2 exons.
UCCUCCUCCCGACCUGGUAGUUCUGCGCCUGGAAUAUUUCCCCAUGGGCGUUUGUCUCCGGCAAUCCCACAACAGAAAGAUGCUUUGGUUAAUAGAAGCGUGUUUCAAAACUACAUCAAAAAUGUGACUUCCUGAAUCAUCAGGUCUGACUUGUGAUGACAACCAAACAACAGUGACACGAACAGCGACAAUACCUGAGAGUGCCUGGGGAAAGAAACCGCAAUUACCCAUGGGGGGCGAGUCCUGCUGGGGGGGAAUGCUGUGGGCUGGUGCCACCCACCCAGCAGAGCCUGCUUGGCCCCCUGGGGUGCAGGCGCCCGUGAUGCAGCAGCCCCAGGGGACGGGGGGGGGACCCCUUGGGGGGCAGCAGUGGGGUGAGGUCCCUCCAGGGCCCCUGGCAUCGCACCAUCGAAAUGGAGUGCACAGAAAAUAUGCAGCUCGAGUGGUGAUGGCUUGCUGCUUCUCUUCCUCCAGCAUGCACCAAGACAUCCCCUUCCAGGGGAGAGACGGCAGGGUAUGCGUUCUGCUGCUUUAGCAGGUAGACAAAACAUGCAAAUAUUUAUUCAAAGUAAAAAGGAAAAGGACAUUUCCUUUUCCUCCCAGGCGCUGCAGUUAGCUAUGGCUACUCGCUGCCAGGAGAGGACAGCCACAGGAGAUGGUGCACUGUGUUUCUGAAACAGAAGCGUGGAGAAUUCCGGGAGCAGUCUGACCCCAAUCCUGUCAGCACCACAGAGCUCCUCCAAGCAUUGUCUGGGGGAAGCAUGUCAAAGAGACUACAAAAGAAAAAGGAUAUUCAACAUAUUUUUAGUCUAGGGAUGCUGAAUUGAGGAGCAGCAGAGAUAACUACAAUGCUUCGUCAUCCACAUUUUUCAUUUUGUUAAUAAUAUUAAUGCAGCCGAGUGGUGUCUGUCACACUGCUGCUCCUCAGCAUCGUCUCUGGCGUCCAACUCACCCAGACACAUCACACGAAGGACGCGCCCGGUGCAGCCUGCUUCAGGGCACUGCCAUGCCACUCAGCUGGGUUCAUUAGCCUUGGUUUUAUCCUGGCACUGCAAAUCCAGAACACCUUACAUGUGGUGUGGGUUCUGUGUGUCCAUUUUGAACUUCAGACAUAGUUGUGGGUCUCUGUAGCCAAUGAUGAAUACUACAGCUUCUGUGGAGGAGUAUUUCACUCGUGAUUGUAGGGGAUUUCAGUGCAUUUGUGUGUUCUUCUCAGUGGUUUUCUUCCUUUCCAUAAUGGGAAGCUUUGACAUGCAUCUACACCGGGCCACACCUCAAGGCCUGCCAGCAGCUGCCGUCUUUAUUUUACUAAAAGAGAUUUUCACCGUUGAUGAAGCAAUCUGGUAACGAUGCUCUCCAUGUGUAUAAUGGCAGAGCUGCUGGGAGUGCUCAGCUGGAUGCAGUGAUCUGCAGUGGGAGCUGCGCCGUCCCUGGGCAGCAGUGUGUGCCCAGCACAGGGUUUGUAUCUGUGUGUAUGUAUGACUGUGUGUGUGCACCUCCACUGGCACUUUGCAGCCCGCCGUGCAGCACCAACGAGGAAACAUUAUUGCUUCAAGAAGGAAUGAGGAUGGAAAGGCCUCCCCUGGGUAAAGGUGCUGCUGCUGCUUAAUUCUGUUAAAAAAUUAGAAAGGAAGGAAUUGUGCUUUGGCUUCCUGUGGCGUCCCGGUGCCCCACGAUCCCAUGGGGACAGACACCCACCGUCACUCCCAAGCACCGCCCUGCCCCGCAGAACAACCAGGCUCAAAUGAAUGAGGAAAAUGAGAAGGCAGGACUGGAUCUCCCCAGGAGGAGCCCUCUGUAGUCUCACAGUGCUUUAAGACAGUUUCACCCAUGCAGAAUCCUUGUGCUGCUGCUUUCAGGCGCUCUCUUAUCUAAAUGUUGACUCAGCUGUCUCUGUGACACUGCCCAGGAGCAGCUGCUGCCCGAGCCCUGCGGCUCACGAGGACAUCGGGGCUGCAGUGCUCUGAGCACAGUGCUGUGAGUCACUGCGGGCACUCCUGCAUUUCUCCGGGUUUCAGUUUGGUGCUCCGUGGGAUGGGAACAGCAUUGGCAGUUAUUGCAAUAGCAGCGUUCCUUCCCAGGGCUGAAACAUGCGAUGUGGACAUGGAGCCUUCGUGCUGGGACACAGUGCUGGUGCAGAGUGCCAGUCGCUGUAUGUGCUCCUGUAGUUAUGCACUCAGUCUGACACCAGCGCGCCCUUCAUGGCUCCCAGUGUCUCUGCUGAUGGAAUAUCUUCAAAAGAUAUUCCUGGUUUCCACGUUUUGUUUCGUUGUCCAUCCAGGUUUUGCCUUUGUUUGCUGAGGACUUCCAUUUGAACUCCUUGCUGAAUUCAGUCACUGCUUUUCCUGCUCUGGCUUCCUGCAGGAAAUGUGGAACGCUCUCCUGAGCAGCGUCUGUCCGUCCCUGGGAUGUGGCAAUCCGUGCGCAUUUCACAGAUGUGAACUGUAGGUGGUAUUUUCCUCCUGUGAGCUGGCUGUAGUAUAGCACAGCAGUUAUGUAUGCUGAGCCCGUGCUCUCGUCUCUGUAAUCACAGGGUUUGCAGAGCCUUAUGCUGAAUUUAAGCCUUGUUUACUAAAGCAUAUAUACAUGGAUGAAUCGGAACCGUGCCUGCUGCAGUCCUCCCAGGGGAACCAAAUGGAUUCUCUACAGACCUGGGCUCCCAUCAGCCCCCAACAACUCCAGGUGCUCAGGCCGGUGUAGCUCAUGGGGUCAAGAUGGUUCCCUGUUGCUGCAAGGCCUGCAGUUCUGGCACAGCGCGGCGCGGUGAACUCUGCCCUCUGGUUGGUGUUUCACGUCCUGCCUUCUUCUGUACUUGCUGAGCGAUCACACACAGUGAUGGCGUCUCUCCAGCAGGCCCUGCAGCCCUCCCCCCACAGCCCCUUCCGUCCUGCACCCAUCAUGGUGUGCCUGACCUGGCAGCUCCGGUGUGUGCAGGCAGGAGCCCUCCCACCCUGCAUCGGAGCUCCAGUGCCGGAAUGCUGCAGGAAGGAUUUAGCUGGGAUCUGCUUGGUGUCAGAGUGACACCAAGUUAUGGCUGCUCAUCCCCUGCAGAUUAAGCAGUGGUUACUGUAGAGGUAUUAAAUGCAGCCCUCGGCAACAUUAAAAUACCUGUGCAAAGUCUUGGUGCAGUGUGCCUAACAGUGUGAUUUUAAGGCAAUCAAAUGAGGCGGGAGGAACGCUUGGAUGAGGUUUGCCAGCUGAUGCUGUGCUCGUGUCUGUGAGCAGUGCACGUGGCAGUCACGGUCCUGCUGAGCUCUUUGGGGUUCCGCCUGCAGGAGGGAGCGGCUCCUCCUAAUACUGAGCGUCAGAGAGCACAGCUUUGUGUUUGCUGGCUUCAGUCCGCUCUCAUUUGGCACUUUGUCCAAAAACAUCAUUGCCUUUUUCUCACAUCAACAUGACCAGGUCACAUCUCAGUUCCUGUGCCCAUCAGCACGGAGUUCCGCAGAACAAGCUGCCCGGACUCCUGCUGCUCCAGGCACGCACCUCUCCUCCCAUGCUCCCAGCUGUGGAUUUCUGGAACUUCCCUGCCAUGAGCACCCAAUCCCUCGGCUUCAAGAGCUCAUGUGUCAAUGAUGGACAAGUCUGCAGUUUCGUGAAUGAAAAACAAAGCUUUAUUAAAUGUGUACAGAAUGCACAAAUGCAGCUGCGCGUGGUUGGGGUCUGUCGGGGGAGAAGCAGAGGGGUGAAGAUGGCUGUGUGCUGCACAGCUCUGUCGGGCAGAGCCUGGGGCUGCUGUGGGUCCCACUAGCGUGUGGUGAGCGCCAUCUGCUCACGGGAUGAGACCACCUUCCCGUCCUGCACCUCCUCCACGAUGGUGCGCACCUGGCGCGAG